AGCUGAACAUAGACUACACAAAUAUCCAUAAACAAAUAAACAAAUCAUUUGACAAACGAAGUAGAUGUGAUCGAACAGCAAAUAUACACUAAGUACCGCAAGGGAAAGAAUACCCAAGCAAGAAACAGCAAAGACAAACCCUUGUACCUUUCGCAUCAUGGUUUAGCAAGUCAACUAGGACAAGAAGAAUCAAAGCCCACACCCCCGAAACCAGAUGAGCUACUUUUCAAGCAGCCCAUCGGGCGCACCCUUCUCUGUGGCAAAAGAGUGGGAAGACUUAAAAGUAGAAGUGAAACGCUUACCGAAUCUGGAGAUAGCUGGUUACCUAAUAAAGAAUUUUAGUUCAACUUUAGGCCAAAUAUAUACAUAAUUAUCCUUACCUAAAGACAAUCAAUAGGGGUACAGCUCUAUUGAAACAGGAAACAACCUGAAUUUGAGAAAAACUACCAUCACCUUUACCAGUAGGCCUUAAAGCAGCCACCAAAAAAAAUAUCGUUAAAGAAUUAACACAUCAACCCAAAAACCAACCAAAAAUUCCAAACAAACUAAAGGUAAACCCAUCAUUAUGGAUACCAUUAUGCUAAAACUAAUAAUAAGAACCACUCUCUACACGCACCCGUCCACUAGAAACGGAUAAACCACUAGACAUUAACAGACCAUAACAGGCAAUUAACCAAACAAUACCCACCUACACACCAAACUGUGACCCCAACACUAGGCGCGUUAAAAAGAAAGAUCAACCAUUAUAAAAGGAACUCGGCAACCAAAAACCCCAACUGUUUAACAAAAACAUAACCUUUAGCCAAACAAAUAUUAAAGGCAACGCCUGCCCAGUGAACAAUUCAACGGCCGCGGUACCCUAACCGUGCAAAGGUAGCAUAAUAAUUUGUCUAUUAAUUGUAGACCUGUAUGAAAGGCAAAAUGAGGGCUUAACUGUCUCUUAUAAUAAAUCUAUUAAACUGAUCUACCAGUAAAAAAGCUGGAAUACCCACAUAAGACCAGAAGACCCUGUGAAGCUUAAACUAAACUAUUAAACCAAAUAAUAACUACUUUCGGUUGGGGCGACCUUGGAAACAAAAAGAACUUCCAAAUAUAAAUUAUAUACCUAGGCCCACACGCCAACUAAUGACCCAGUACUACUGACAAUUGAACAAAGUUACUCCAGGGAUAACAGCGCCAUCUUCUUCAAGAGACCAUAUCAAAAAGAAGGUUUACGACCUCGAUGUUGGAUCAGGACAUCCUAAUGGUGCAACCGCUAUUAAGGGUUCGUUUGUUCAACGAUUAAUGUCCUACGUGAUCU
RNAcentral lists this ribosomal RNA (1300 nucleotides) under Opisthotropis andersonii (Anderson's mountain keelback). RNAcentral describes it as "partial 16S ribosomal RNA". It matches the Rfam family "Bacterial large subunit ribosomal RNA", at positions 436 to 2606 of the family's 2925-position model. The record is from RNAcentral. Lineage: Eukaryota; Metazoa; Chordata; Lepidosauria; Squamata; Natricidae.